UCACUGCUGAUGAGACCCAACGAGGUCGAAACAGCUGUCCAGUGC
Echinostoma caproni is the source of this 45-nucleotide non-coding RNA. NCBI's taxonomy places the organism in Eukaryota, Metazoa, Platyhelminthes, Trematoda, Plagiorchiida, Echinostomatidae. The record is from Rfam.